Long non-coding RNA from Xenia sp. Carnegie-2017, 1067 nucleotides. RefSeq lists it as uncharacterized. The record is from RefSeq and is a predicted model, not a curated record. Lineage: Eukaryota; Metazoa; Cnidaria; Anthozoa; Malacalcyonacea; Xeniidae. The transcript has 5 exons.
GUACUAACGUCACAUUGUCAUUGUCGGAUUCUUCAUUUUCGCUUAAAGUGCACAUACAACUAUUUUUAGUUUUUUAUUCUCAAAUAGAUUUUGGAUAAAUAAUACAAAUGCCGUUUACAGAAUUUGAAUAACUUUUUUCGUUUUUGAGUUAUCUUUCGGCAAAUUUGCGAAUAAAACCUGAAUUUCAACGUUUUGUAAAAAAUGUCGAGAGCUCUAAUCCGUGGCAUGGGACUUACGUGUGACGUCAUUUAAGGAACACAGACUGACUUCCAAUACAACUUACACUGUUUAUGCAUGUAAACAAACACAAAAAUGCCAGAUCGAUGUGUAGUUUUUGGUUGUUCUAACGUAGCCAGCUCGGAGAAAGGCAUUUCACUUCAUCGCAUACCAUUUUUUAACGACGAAAGAAGCGAAGCUAAGCGUAGAAGAAAGCGAUGGGUCAACUUUGUGAAAGCUACUCGCGAUAAGUGGGUCCCUACAAAGAAUUCCGCAGUUUGCUCGGAACACUUCACAAAAUAUUUGUUUUCUUGGCAAUUCGGCUCGCUUUCUGAAUCAGAAAGUAAUUUUGCACCUCGACUCAUUCGAGACGAAUUCGGAAUCGUUGCCUACCCAGGCAUUUAUCCUCGAAAAGAUGACAAUGAACUUACAACAAGAGAUCGCAGAAUGAUGAAAAGAAAGUGGAUGUCUGGUUAUAAAAGAGAGGUUGAAUCAGAAAAUAUUCCCAGUACAAGUAGCGAACCUCAAGAGCAAGUAGAAGAAACAACUUGCGAUGAGCCUGUAUUAUCAGAAUGAUCAGCUACUCUUUUCCUGGGAUGUUCUGCAGGCAUAUCCUUGUUGUAACUCACUUCGAAAGCAAUUUGGAAAGGGAUAAUCAAGAGAUUAAUGGAGUUCCCCAGGUUAAAGUGCAUUAUUCAAAAUUUAUAAAUGGUGAAGCUGUUGUAAGAAAUGUGAAAGUUGCUCAGGAUUUUGGGUAUGUUGUAGAUAUAUAUCAAGUGUUGUGCUCUGCACUCAUUGAUGAGGAAACAUUGAGAAAAGCCAAAGCUGAAGUAUCACCUGUCCAAGAAAAA